Chinchilla lanigera (long-tailed chinchilla) is the source of this 334-nucleotide long non-coding RNA. RefSeq lists it as uncharacterized. Lineage: Eukaryota; Metazoa; Chordata; Mammalia; Rodentia; Chinchillidae. The transcript is spliced from 3 exons. The record is from RefSeq and is a predicted model, not a curated record.
AGCGGGGGAAGGAUGAGGAACCUAGACAACGAUGUCGAAACCUGGAAGGAGAGAGACGUUUCAGGAAUACAUGGAGCUGCCACAAAGUAUUAGAAGUUCUGGAAGGAUCAGAUCCAGGACCUGGGACAUGCCUAGACACAUGAGUACAAACGGAGCAGAGUUGGAUCCAAUCAGCAGGCCACCCACCAAGACAGGGAGAAAGAAGACACUGGUUUCUCCCACAGAGCACUGGAAGAGCUUUUGAUGGAAACAGGAGAUAAUGAUGUUUUGCCAUUGGCAAAUCCAAGUAGUGCCUAACCCGGUAACACACAUGCCACAUGCUCAAUAAAUGUUA